UACGAAGGGGGCUAGCGUUGUUCGGAUUUACUGGGCGUAAAGCGCACGUAGGUGGACAGUUAAGUGAGAGGUGAAAUCCCAGGGCUCAACCCUGGAACUGCCUUUCAUACUGGCUGUCUCGAGUUCGGAAGAGGUGAGUGGAAUUCCAAGUGUAGAGGUGAAAUUCGUAGAUAUUUGGAAGAACACCGGUGGCGAAGGCGGCUCACUGGUCCGAUACUGACACUGAGGUGCGAAAGCGUGGGGAG
RNAcentral lists this ribosomal RNA (245 nucleotides) under uncultured bacterium. RNAcentral's name for it is "partial 16S ribosomal RNA". It matches the Rfam family "Bacterial small subunit ribosomal RNA", at positions 524 to 768 of the family's 1533-position model. The record is from RNAcentral.